GAAAUGCAAUGCAUGAUGAAUUGUUAAAAGAACAUCUAAAGCAUAUCGAAUCAAACUAAAGACUCUUGAACUCAUAGGUGGCGAUUUACACUUCCCGGUUUACUCUAAUCGAUGUAUAAUGGUAUUUCCAAUUAGCUUCCACACGAUUUAUCUUCAUCUGUUUCUGGGAAUCUGCAUUGAACUAGAAUAGACAUAUGUAUGAUCAACCAACUGUCGUCACGUUAAUCAACUAAUCUCUUAAAUCUAGCAAUUAACUCUCGCUCUCAUGCUAAACUUAAGAUUAUGCAUUAGACAUUGAAUUUGUCUGCUCACAUCUUCUCUAUAGGUAGCUUUCGACUCCUAUAGCGACUAUGUUCUUCUGAAGCUAGGUACAGAUGAUCUGAUACAACACUCUCGUGGUUCUGAUCGAUCCUAGGCUCAGAGAAUAGGUCAUGAAUCUACUCUAAUGCUUUAUGAACAACUUAGAAGAGAUGAGAUCCAGAAUAUGGCUAAGAACAAUAGAAAUCCUAAUCGAUAUAUAUAUAUGCUUGUCGAUAUCUUCAAACAACUUGACUCUCUGGGACUAAUCUACAUGAUGCAAUGAAUGAUAAAAAACAUAGAAGAAUGUAAAAGAAUGAAACAGAAAAGUUAAUAAGAUAAGAAGGAGAAAAAAAAAUGGAUCUGGGGAAGAACCCCCAUCUCCAUCGCCUAACCCUAGAAAAACAGAGUUUGGUGGCUCAAAAUCUCAUUACAGGAGCACACACCCGUUUAGGACUGCUAAACAAUGUAUUUAUAGGUCCUAAGGUUUUCCCGGUCUCAUUUAGGGUUUCUCUGAAGAGAAAUGGCAAAUUUGACUUUGAUGUUGGGCCUUGUGGCUCGUCCUAAGGUCCACCAGGGGUGAGAGUCUUCCAGGGCAGGUAAAACAUGUGUUUACCGCGGGUGAGAGUCUUCCGGGACUGGUGAACUGGGUCAACUUGUUCUCCAGGUAUCUUUUGAUUGCACCGUUGGAUCUUGUGAUGCUAUGGAAAGCUGGUUGUCUCCUCUUGAUUGUCCCAAAAUUUGAUCUGGAUCAGACGGUGAGAAAGUCUUCAUUUGAGGCUGAACUUCUGACAGUUUGACUAUGAGCUAAAAAUGUGGAUUUCUUCAAUUUUGCUAUCAUUUUCACUAAGUUUCCUGAAAAGAGCCUUGAAACUACAAAUACAUGGAAAUCAUAAUAAAAGUUCCUAAAACUAAGUAAAACCUUUGAAAAAGCAUUUGAAAUCAAUGGUGAAAAGUGGUCAAAAUCAGGUAUUAUCAACUCCCCUAGACUUAAGACUUUGUUUGUCCUCAAACAAAACAAGAUCAAAUCUGAAAAAAUAUCAUUCAACAGAAAUAAGAGGGAACUCAAAAAUAUCAGCAACCAUACUUCUAGACCUUAAUUAUGGACAAUGCAUCAAUCAGAUCAAGUCUAGAAAAUUCUCACCAAAAUAUAAACAUAACUAGUCCGUUAAUCUGUCAUGCGAAAAUCCACACACUUAGAACUAACUUCCACUCAACUAGCUCUUAACAUUAGUUAAAGGUUUCAGUGGUUCUCAUCAAAAGGAUAUUAAAUAAGGCAUUCAAGGUUAGGUAUCAAAAAGGCUUGUUAAUGGUAAGACUGAUGUGUUUAGGGUUACCUUUUUCUGGAGAGACAGGACAUUAUGAAAAACAACAAGAGAGGAUGGAACUGCAAAUGCCCCCACAGUUUCAGUCACAUUCUUCUUGCUUCAAGAUUUCUGAUCUCUUUUCUUCAGGUUCUCCUUAUAAUUCCCCCAGACUUGGAUUUUUGUCCAGGUAGUAAUCCAUAACUCCUUAAGUGAAUACCUAUUGCCUUGGCUCAAGUAAUUUCGGUUUCUAAGACUCUUUAGGCUCUUGGUUUUCUUUCUUUUUUUCUUUUCUCCUUUUUCGUUUUUUUUUUUUAGAAUGGGGAAACUGCCUUUUGAAUUGGAGUCUUUGGGAGCACGGAAAUUACCUUUAAGAAUGAGAUUUUCUAAGGCAUCAUACGAUUUCUGACACACUCCCUUCUGGUCUCUUUCAGUCUUUCUCUGGAGUGACUGAAAACUAUGUUAUUCCUCCUUCUCCGGCGUUUUUGCACAUAUCUGUCGAUAUAAACUUAAAGAGAGAAUGGAUGUGGUUUGAACAUGAAGGUUUGGGUUAAGGGUGUGGUACCAGCUAAAGAUGAACUAGCCAUCUAGGACAACAAAAAGUGGUAACAAUAAGGUAAAGAUGUUCUAGAUGUAUAUCAUGAUGCUUUUUUAAAACCAUUGAUGAGAAAAUUAGAUAUCAAGAUUAAGUCCAAGUAGAAUGAGCUAGUAUAUCCUGUCAGAAAAGAUCUUCAUGAAUAAAAGUCUUAUGGUGGGAUUUCGUAGUGUAAGUACUCUAGCUACCGCCUAGUCUAGUACUAAACCUUGAAAGAGCUUUAAUGAGUGAUUGGUGUAGAAGCAAACUGGUUGGUUAUCAUCAUCGAUUUUGUCAUUAUUCCCUCAAAAUGUAUUUGACCUUUGAAAACACUUUUAGAAACACAAAAGAGUUUUGAAAAGUUUUAAUAAAAAUCGAAAAAAUUGAAAAAAAUUUAAAGAAAAUGCAGAAUGCAAAGGCUCAUGUAAGAAAAGGUGGUUAGAAAGGGAUGAAAUCCUCCCCCAUACUUAAAUCACACUGCCUCCAGUGUGAAAUAAAUCAGGCAAGGAUGAGAAAUAGAGUAUGUAAAAAUUAAAAAAUAUUAAGAAAAAGAAAACUUACCUGGUGUUGGUGAUUGGUUGUGAGGUGGUUGUGGUUGUGAUCCUUGAUCAAACUUGGAUGCUAGGGAUCCAACACAGAUUUGGUCAAGGUGGUGGUGGAAGUGGCCAAGGAUGAAAUGGUAGUGGCCAAAGGUGAAAUGGAAGUGGCCAAGGUGGAAUAGAGGUGGCCAAGGUGGCCGGCUGUGCUGGCCGCGGGUCGGAACAUCGCGGCCGCGGUAGGACGCGUGCCGGCCGCGGUAGGACGCGUGCCGGCCGCGGUAGGACGCGUGCCGGCCGCGGUAGGACGCGUGCCGGCCGCGGUAGGACGCGUGCCGGCCGCGGGCCAGAUCUUUUUGGCCGCGGUAAAACAGUUGCUGGCCGUGGCUGAACCUCAUUUGGUCGCGGUCAGCCCCUUUUAUUCCCCUCUUUUUUUUGUGGCAUACUAAGGCUUGUCUAAAAUAAAAGAAACAAAACUUUAAUAGAAAAAGAAAGCUAAAUAAAAACAAAUAAGUACCUAAAAUGGGUUGCCUCCCAUUAAGCGCUUUGGAUUAUAGUCCUUAGCUAGACUUUGCAAAAAAAAAGACUUAGUUCAAAUAGGAUCUUGUCCUAAGACAAGUCCUCUUCGAAAUCCUCAUGUUCUGUCUUGCAAUCACUCCAGAGUUCUUCUGGUUCAAAUGCCUGGGCUUUAUGUUCUCCUCUUUUUCUCUUAAGUGGUGUAGCUUCAUAGAAGAUGUCCUUAUCGAUAUUGGCAAAAGAAACUCGCCUGUUGGGCCAAUCCAUGAUGGCUCCAACAGUUGCUAAGAAAGGCCAUCCAAGAAUAACUGGAUAAGAGUCAUCUUUGGUUUUCACUAUGUAUAGAUCGACAGGUGCAAUGCAAUCUCCAAUCCUUAGAGGAUUGUCUCGGGCUAUCCCUCUUAGUGUUGCACUUGAAUCAUCUGCUAAGCUAAUCUUUGUCCUAGUGCUUGAGAUGUGCUUAAUGCCAAAUCUCAAAGCAGUUGCUUUGGACAUCAUGUUAAUGCAAGCUCUAGAAUCACAAAGAAUAUUGAGGAAUCUUUCAAAACUCUAAUGUCACAAGAGAUAAAAAAUUGACCUUUAUCUUGAACUUUGUGCAGAGUUUGAACUGGUCUACCUUCUUAGGCGUGUGUGAACAAGUCUUUCAUCUCUUAGAUUGAUUAUUCUCUGUCACAAAAGAAGUGGCCUAUCAUGUGGUCUCUACAUGCUUUGGCAAACGAAAUUCCUUCUGGCAGGCUCUGAACUACUUGAUUGAACUCUUCAAGUGCUUCUUUGCUGAUCUUGUUUGUGUUGUCACUGGCUUCUUGGAGAUCUUUGAGAUGGAUCCUGUAAACAGCUGCAUCAGGUGAUGAUCUAGGAAAAGAUAGAUAUCUGGCUCUUCUGAAAUAUGUAGAGAUGUCCUCCUUAGUCUCCUUGCUAUAAUCUGAAGAAGACUUGAAGGCAACCUUGCUUCCAGACGUCAUCGAACCCGAGAUAGAGAGGAAUGGACUUCACAAACUUGUUGAAUUCGAUCAGCCUCUCUCUAGAUAUGCUCUUGGUUAUUGGUUCUGUGUUGUCAUCAGAUGAAUCGCACCCAGGGUUUGGAUCUUUUACAAACAAACCAUACUCUUCAUCUUCUGAGAAUUUCUCUUGAAGCUCAUUGUCACAAGUGUAAACCAUGUUGCAAGAUGCAUAAGUGUUGGAUUCCUCCUUUUCUUUUGAUGCUUGUGCAAUGAUUGAGAAGACAGCUUGAUCAAACAACCUAGGUCUGGUCACAUGAGGUCGGUAUUCUGAUGAACAGGCUUCAGAAAGAGGUUGAAAGCUCUCCCAAUCUGAGAAGUCGUGCUCCACCGCGGGUGAGGAGCUCGGAGCCGUGGUGGAAGUGACUCUGGCCGCGGGUGAGGUGCUCGCAGCCGCGGUCAGCUUCCUCCGGCUCUCCAUGCUUGCUUCUUCAAUCUCUUCUUCUCCAUUGUUGUUCUCUUGCUUCCAGUGGUUGUCAGGCACGUCUUGGGUAUCCAAAUCAUUGAUUCCAGAGUUCAGAUCAUACUCCUUAUGAUCUUUAGAAAGUUUUUCAACUUUCUCUUCUACUUCAUCUAAAGCAUAGACAACUUUGUCUAAAGUAACAUCAAGCUCUUCUGUCUUGUUUGUGAUCUUUUCCAUCUCUUCACUCAUCUCUAUCUUGUCUCCAUCAGAGUACCACUUGCUAUCUUUGAAAUCUCUCUCCAAAUCUUCAAUCAGGACAUUGCAGCCUCUCUAUUCCUUAAGUGCUUGACGAAUGGCAAUGGUGUUCUUAGCCUCACCUUCUUCGAUAGCUUCAACCUUCUUUGAUCUAGUUGAAGCCUAAAUUGAUCAGCCUCAGCGUUUUGGUGCAGAAUCUGAUGAGGAAGAGAAUGAGAUGGUCGACGGUUCACCAGGUGUGGCGAAUAGGGCUCAUCUCGGUAGUGUGGAGGUCGCGAGUCUCCAUGGUGGUGGUUCGGAUUAGGGUUCCGAAGAUGAUGACAAAAUUCACGCCCGAAGGGUGAUUCACAUGCGCAGGGAGCUUCACACAGGUCGCAGGACCUUUGCACGGGGUUAGGGUUUCUCCUUGAAUGAUCCAUGCUUCAAAGGUUUCUGAAACUAGGGCAAACAGAAGAGAUAAUAAGCAGAAAAAGAAAAAGUUAGGGUGUUUAUGGAUUUGGUUUACUUCCUAUGUUGCUUUGGCACAAACUCGACAUAUAUAUAGUCUUCUGCGGCUUCAACCUCCCAGGUUUAGACCUCCAGAGACUAAAAUCCUCCCCGGCAACGGCGCCAAAAACUUGAUGGGCUUGCGGGCCUAGGGUUGUUUUUUAACAAGCCCGUUGGUCCUCCAAAAUUUUUAAAUUUAUAAAACUCUAGUGUCUGCAAGUGCACAGAUAUACGUUGUAGGACUUAGGGUGUCGAUCCACAGGGAGGAUGUCUAAUCUGCGAGAAACAACAAAUUGGGAAGUAAGCAAACUCAUAAACCAAUAAAAGUUUUGGGGUUUUUGGUUAAGAUCCUAAACUAAACCUAAUCUAAUAUUCACAAGAAAUGCAAUGCAUGAUGAAUUGUUAAAAGAACAUCUAAAGCAUAUCGAAUCAAACUAAAAACUCUUGAACUCAUAGGUGGCGAUUUACACUUCCCGGUUUACUCUAAUCGAUGUAUGAUGGUAUUUCCAAUUAGCUUCCGGGCGACUUAUCUUCAUCUGUUUCUGGGAAUCUGCAUUGAACUAGAAUAGACAUAUGUAUGAUCAACUAACUGUUGUCACCUUAAUCAACUAAUCUCUUAGAUCUAGCAAUUAACUCUCGCUCUCAUGCUAAACUUAAGAUCAUGCAUUAGACAUUGAUUUUUUCUGCUCACAUCUUCUCUAUAGGUAGCUUUCGACUCCUAUAGCGACUAUGUUCUUCUGAACCUAGGUACGGAAUCUGAUACAGCACUCUCGUGGUUCUGAUCGAUCCUAGGCUCAGAGAAUAGGUCACGAAUCUACUCUCAUGCUUUAUGAACAACUUAGAAGAGAUGAGAUCCAGAAUAUGGCUAAGAACAAUAGUAAUCCUAAUCGAUAUAUAUGCUUGUCGAUAUCUUCAAACAACUUGACUCUCUAGGACUAAUCUACAUGAUGCAAUGAAUGAUAAAAGACAUAGAAGAAUGCAAAAGAAUGAAACAGAAAAGUUAAUAAGAUAAAAAGGAGAAAAAACAAUGGAUCUGGGGAAGAACCCCCAUCUCCAUUGCCUAACCCUAGAAAAACAGAGUUUGGUGGCUCAAAAUCUCAUUGCAGGAGCACACACCCAUUUAGAACUGCUAAACAAAGUAUUUAUAGGUCUUAAGGUCUUCUAGGUCUCAUUUAAGGCUUCUCUGAAGAGAAAUAGCGAAGUGGGCUUUGAUGUUGAGGCUUGUGGCUCGUCCUAAGGUCCACCGGGGUGAGAGUCUUCCAGGACAGGUAAAACAUGUGUUUACUGCGGGUGAGAGUAUUCCGGGACUGGUGAACUGGGUCAACUUGUUCUCCAUGUAUCUUUUGAUUUCACCGUUGGAUCGUUGUGAUGUAAAGUGUUAUGGAAAGCUGGUUGUCUCCUCUUGAUUGUCUCCAAAUUUGAGCUGGAUCAGACGGUGAGAAAGUCUUCAUUUGAGGCUGAACUUCUGACGGUCUGACACUGAGCUAAAAAUGUGGAUUUUUUCCAUUUUGCCAUUAUUUUCCUUAAAUUUCCUGAAAAAAGUCUUGAAACUACAAAUACAUGAAAAUCAUAAUCAAAGUUCCUAAAACUAAGUAAAACCUUUGAAAAAGCAUUCGAAAUCAAUCGUGAAAAGUGGUCAAC
Molecule: long non-coding RNA, 7010 nt
Filed under: Eutrema salsugineum
Lineage: Eukaryota; Viridiplantae; Streptophyta; Magnoliopsida; Brassicales; Brassicaceae
Description: long non-coding RNA (ESAL_LNC001207)
Source: RNAcentral